UACAGAGGGGGCGAGCGUUGUUCGGAAUUACUGGGCGUAAAGGGCGCGUAGGCGGCCUACUAAGUCAGACGUGAAAUCCCUCGGCUCAACCGGGGAACUGCGUCUGAUACUGGUGGGCUUGAAUCCGGGAGAGGGAUGCGGAAUUCCAGGUGUAGCGGUGAAAUGCGUAGAUAUCUGGAGGAACACCGGUGGCGAAGGCGGCAUCCUGGACCGGUAUUGACGCUGAGGCGCGAAAGCCAGGGGAGCGAACGGG
RNAcentral lists this ribosomal RNA (253 nucleotides) under uncultured bacterium. RNAcentral's name for it is "partial 16S ribosomal RNA". It matches the Rfam family "Bacterial small subunit ribosomal RNA", at positions 524 to 776 of the family's 1533-position model. The record is from RNAcentral.